Molecule: ribosomal RNA, 253 nt
Filed under: uncultured bacterium
Lineage: Bacteria
Description: partial 16S ribosomal RNA
Rfam family: Bacterial small subunit ribosomal RNA
Source: RNAcentral
UACGAAGGGGGCUAGCGUUGUUCGGAAUUACUGGGCGUAAAGCGUGCGCAGGCGGCUUCUCAAGUCAGGGGUGAAAGCCCAGAGCUCAACUCUGGAAUUGCCUUUGAGACUGAGUGGCUUGAGUACGAGAGAGGUGAGUGGAAUUCCCAGUGUAGAGGUGAAAUUCGUAGAUAUUCGGAAGAACACCAGUGGCGAAGGCGACUCGCUGGACACGUAUUGACGCUGAGGUGCGAAAGCGUGGGGAGCAAACAGG